This 466-nucleotide ribosomal RNA is filed under the name uncultured bacterium. RNAcentral's name for it is "bacterial SSU rRNA". It matches the Rfam family "Bacterial small subunit ribosomal RNA", at positions 28 to 507 of the family's 1533-position model. The record is from RNAcentral.
GAUGAACGCUGGCGGCGUGCUUAACACAUGCAAGUCGAACGGAGUUACAUGAAACCUAGUGAUUGUAACUUAGUGGCGGACGGGUGAGUAACGCGUGGGUAACCUGGCGUAUACAGGGGGAUAACACUUAGAAAUAGGUGCUAAUACCGCAUAAGCGCACGAAUUCGCAUGAAUUUGUGUGAAAAACUAAGGUGGUAUACGAUGGACCCGCGUCUGAUUAGCUAGUUGGUGAGGUAACGGCCCACCAAGGCGACGAUCAGUAGCCGGCCUGAGAGGGUGAACGGCCACAUUGGGACUGAGACACGGCCCAAACUCCUACGGGAGGCAGCAGUGGGGAAUAUUGGACAAUGGGGGAAACCCUGAUCCAGCGACGCCGCGUGAGUGAAGAAGUAUUUCGGUAUGUAAAGUUCUAUCAGCAGGGAAGAUAAUGACGGUACCUGACUAAGAAGCACCGGCUAAAUACGUG